Long non-coding RNA from Nymphaea colorata (pocket water lily), 1245 nucleotides. RefSeq lists it as uncharacterized. The transcript has 6 exons. The record is from RefSeq and is a predicted model, not a curated record. NCBI's taxonomy places the organism in Eukaryota, Viridiplantae, Streptophyta, Magnoliopsida, Nymphaeales, Nymphaeaceae.
UGACCGGUUCAUGGGUUUAGGGUUAAAAUUUUUUCCUUCCACUGGACUGCUGCUCUCACUCUCAACCUCUCACCCCUUCCACUGGACUGUCGUUGCUGCCCUCUCUCGCCGCUUCUGCUGGACCGCCGUUGCUGUGCUCUCUCACCGCUUCCGCUGGACCGCCGUCUGCUCUCUCUCUUUCGCUAGAUUGCUGCUCUCGCCGCUUCCGCUGGAGUCUGGACCACCGUUGCUGUCCUCGCUCGCCGUUUGCUUUCUCUCUUUCGCUGGACUGCUACUCUUGCCGCUUCUGUUGGACCACCAUUGCUGCCCUCUCUCGCUACUGCUGCCUUAGACGCUGCGACGCACCUGCUCCCUUCAUGCUAGGAACCAAAAUCGUGCUUCUUGCUACCUUUCCCCUUCUCUCGCUGCUGCUGCCUCACAGCCUCAGAAGCGUCCCUCUCGCUCUUGCUGGACUCAUGCUCCCGCCUUCACCGCUUCACGCCAGAAAUCACUACUGCUGCCUUCUCUUGCCGUUGUUGCCUCAGACGCCAUCAACGCUUUCAUUUCAUAUCCAAGGCAGCAACGUCUUCUCUGCUUGAUCAAAGUGAAUGCUAAACCAACGAUAGGAAGGGGGAGAGAGAGAGAAGGCAUAUGGGUUUCAGCUGGCGUGUGCCGCCAGUGGCUUGGCUGGUAGACAGAUGUGGCAUGAGAAGGGGACUGCAUCUUUUGUCAACCCAAAACAUUAAACCUCUAAAGACAAGAUAACAGGUUGGGUUUGAUGGGUGGCUGGACCAUUUCUCAGAAACUAGGAACGAUAUAAAGGUACUGCUGAAGAUGAGAUUGCAUGACAUGAUUCAACAUCAAUUCCAACAUAUUAUGCAGUAACAACCUGUCAAAAUAUUAGAUGAUGAUGAUGAUGAAUAUGAAGAAGGCAAUGGAGGGAACCGACUCCUGGGGUUUAUGUUUGGAAAUGUUGAUGGUUUCGGUGAUCUUGAUGUGGACUAUCUUGAUGAAGCAAAUAACUUCAUCUUAUAUUUUGAUCUACUUGUGUAUAUGCUAGAGCCUAGAAGUUUUUCUAAAGCUUGAUGGAAUGAUUAGUGCUACGGUAACAAUAUGAAGAACUUUUACACUAGUCCUGCUAUUUGUCAAUUGCCUUGUAGGCUUAGGUUUCCACGCUUGUAGUUCUUAAGACCAUUAGAGUUUUAUGGUCAUUGUUUGGAAGAUAAGACUGCUGCCAAUACUAAUUCUAGAACAUGGACAUUGAAA